CCUACGGGAGGCAGCAGUGAGGAAUAUUGGUCAAUGGCCGCAGGGCUGAACCAGCCAAGUCGCGUGAGGUAUGACGGUCCUAUGGAUUGUAAACCUCUUUUGUCAGGGAGCAAAGGGCGCCACGUGUGGCGCUUUGCGAGUACCUGAAGAAAAAGCAUCGGCUAACUCCGUGCCAGCAGCCGCGGUAAUACGGAGGAUGCGAGCGUUAUCCGGAUUUAUUGGGGUAAAAGGGUGCGCAGGCGGAAUGUCAAGUCAGCGGUAAAAUUUCGGGGCUCAACCCCGUCGUGCCGUUGAAACUGGCGUUCUUGAGUGAGCGAGAAAUAUGCGGAAUGCGUGGUGUAGCGGUGAAAUGCAUAGAUAUCACGCAGAACUCCGAUUGCGAAGGCAGCAUACCGGCGCUCAACUGACGCUCAUGCACGAAAGCGUGGGUAUCGAACAGGAUUAGAUACCCGAGUAGUC
This 459-nucleotide ribosomal RNA is filed under the name uncultured bacterium. RNAcentral describes it as "partial 16S ribosomal RNA". It matches the Rfam family "Bacterial small subunit ribosomal RNA", at positions 338 to 795 of the family's 1533-position model. The record is from RNAcentral.